GACCGCGUAGCUCAGUUGGCAGAGCAUUGGGCUAGUAUUCCAAAGGUCGUAGGUUCGAAUCCCAUCGUGGCCA
Molecule: transfer RNA, 73 nt
Filed under: Paramuricea clavata
Lineage: Eukaryota; Metazoa; Cnidaria; Anthozoa; Malacalcyonacea; Plexauridae
Rfam family: tRNA
About the family: Transfer RNA (tRNA) molecules are approximately 80 nucleotides in length. Their secondary structure includes four short double-helical elements and three loops (D, anti-codon, and T loops).
Source: Rfam by way of RNAcentral